AUUACGAGUAAAUGCAUUUGUCGGCACUUCAAUGGGUACUGGACCAGUUGGCAAAAAGUUCCAGAAAAUGACAAAGAAAGAAUGUUUAAAGAAUUUCAAUUAAGGAUUUAACUUAUCAACUAUUUAACACAUUGCUAGAACAAAAGAUUGAAUAUUAUAUUUUUAUUUUUGUUGUAGAAAUAUCACUGGUGGGAUGAUGCGAAUGAAUGUGCUUUAAGGAGAAAUUUUUACAGAAGAGCUAGAUCCAGAUUUAACGGUCUGUUGGAUUAUGUCAGAACCAACUUGGUACGACCUGACUGGAUAAGUGAAUCCUUAUGACAACAGUAUAUUCGCUAUUGGAAUGGCGAAGAAUAUCAAUUCUUGAGGGACAAAGAAAAGAAAGCUCGGGCAUCAUCCAAGGGUGACUCUCUACAUACUGCGGGUACAAUUAGUAUGAUUGCAGUGGAGGAAAAAAUGAAAAAAGAAAAGGGUAGGAAGAUACCCUUCGAUGAGGUAUUCGAGGAGACGCAUGUGAAGAAGAAAAAGAACCCGACUAAUGAAGAUGUCUAGGUUAAUCCUAGUGCAAAAGCUGCUCAUGACAAAUAUAUGCAGCUCCUUAGUGAGUUUCGUGGUAGUCAGCCUCCUGAAAGUCAGGGUGACCCAAUACCCCAACAUAUAGAGGAGGAGUUAUGGGAAUAAACUGUGGGUCCUGUAGUUAGAGGUCAUUACUGCGGAUACCACGAAAAUUAUUUUGGCGAGAAUGUUAGGUCUUCAUUCGGUCCUACAUCCUAUACCACUUCAGUUGAUAGAGAAACCGUUGAAUCACUAGAAAAUAUGAUUUCUAAACUCACUGAAGAGCUUGCUACACAGAGAGAGAGGGCAUAAGAAGAAUGAGGAAACAACAUCACAAAUCAGGAUGUUGCAGGAGCAGUUCAGCUCUUUUAUUUAGUCUGCAGGGAUUAUUUCUUCAUGUCCUGGUGAUGCAGUUGGGGCUGCGAAAGGUCUAAACCCAUUAGAUGAUAUCAGUACAGAUGA
Molecule: long non-coding RNA, 1014 nt
Organism: Capsicum annuum
Lineage: Eukaryota; Viridiplantae; Streptophyta; Magnoliopsida; Solanales; Solanaceae
Exons: 3
Source: RefSeq, a predicted model, not a curated record